UACGAAGGGGGCUAGCGUUGUUCGGAAUUACUGGGCGUAAAGCGCGCGCAGGCGGUUCUCCAAGUCAGUGGUGAAAGCCCGGAGCUCAACUCCGGAAUUGCCAUUGAAACUGUUGAACUUGAGGACGAGAGAGGUGAGUGGAAUUCCCAGUGUAGAGGUGAAAUUCGUAGAUAUUGGGAAGAACACCGGUGGCGAAGGCGGCUCACUGGCUCGUAUCUGACGCUCAGGCGCGAUAGCGUGGGGAUCAAACAGG
Molecule: ribosomal RNA, 253 nt
Filed under: uncultured bacterium
Lineage: Bacteria
Description: partial 16S ribosomal RNA
Rfam family: Bacterial small subunit ribosomal RNA
Source: RNAcentral